RNAcentral lists this ribosomal RNA (429 nucleotides) under Bacillota bacterium. Its description in RNAcentral is "Firmicutes bacterium partial 16S ribosomal RNA". It matches the Rfam family "Bacterial small subunit ribosomal RNA", at positions 355 to 776 of the family's 1533-position model. The record is from RNAcentral. Lineage: Bacteria; Bacillati; Bacillota.
UAGGGAAUCUUCCACAAUGGGCGCAAGCCUGAUGGAGCAACACCGCGUGAGUGAAGAAGGGUUUCGGCCCGUAAAGCUCUGUUGUUAAAGAAGAACACGUAUGAGAGUAACUGUUCAUACGUUGACGGUAUUUAACCAGAAAGUCACGGCUAACUACGUGCCAGCAGCCGCGGUAAUACGUAGGUGGCAAGCGUUAUCCGGAUUUAUUGGGCGUAAAGAGAGUGCAGGCGGUUUUCUAAGUCUGAUGUGAAAGCCUUCGGCUUAACCGGAGAAGUGCAUCGGAAACUGGAUAACUUGAGUGCAGAAGAGGGUAGUGGAACUCCAUGUGUAGCGGUGGAAUGCGUAGAUAUAUGGAAGAACACCAGUGGCGAAGGCGGCUACCUGGUCUGCAACUGACGCUGAGACUCGAAAGCAUGGGUAGCGAACAGG